GACGGACCGGUCUAACGGCUACGGCUCCCGUCUGCAGAUGCUGGAAACACCGGACAUCUCUCUCCUCGUCGGAGCAGGUUAUUAAUGCCCGGGUCGCGCCUUUGUGAAACUUAUAUAAUCUAAAACACGGUGUUGUAACAGCAGAGGCACUUGUACUGGGAGUGACUGCAGCGGUGGGUCCGGCCGGCUCUCUUUGAGGGGUCAUGUCAGUGAUUUUGGCCUCAGCAGGAGAUUUGGACUGUUUGGGAAGGACGUGGUAGAAGGAGGGAGCAAACCGGGCAUUGGAGCAAUCUGAGCUCUCCUUUUUGAGGCAGGGGCCUUGGCAGCCUGAUUGAGGAUUAGAUCCUCAAAGAAGUUUCUUCUUUCUCUGCUGGUGGGGACCUUGAUGUGGAAAACCUCUCCGUACUCCAUCCGAAACAAUUCCUGCACCUGAGACAUGAAAAGUGAGAGGGUGUCACUCUGCUUCCCAUACCUCCACACUGAGUUGGUCAUAGUGCAGGUUGCACGUAGCCAGAAGCAGUAUAGGAGCAAAGGCAGGGAUGGAGCUGAGCAGGCUGAGGAAGGUGGCUCUUAAGGCCGGACCCACUGU
Long non-coding RNA from Epinephelus moara (kelp grouper), 589 nucleotides. RefSeq lists it as uncharacterized. NCBI's taxonomy places the organism in Eukaryota, Metazoa, Chordata, Actinopteri, Perciformes, Serranidae. The transcript has 4 exons. The record is from RefSeq and is a predicted model, not a curated record.